Nannospalax galili (Upper Galilee mountains blind mole rat) is the source of this 1622-nucleotide long non-coding RNA. RefSeq lists it as uncharacterized. The transcript has 3 exons. The record is from RefSeq and is a predicted model, not a curated record. NCBI's taxonomy places the organism in Eukaryota, Metazoa, Chordata, Mammalia, Rodentia, Spalacidae.
CGCACAGUUCACUUAAGCGUGGAUGUGGUAUUACGGCUCUGGACUGCUGUAAGGAAACUGGUCUUUGAAUCCCAAUUGCCUUUGUAAAAUCUGGGCGUUUUGAAGGUUCUGGUUCAAAUCAGGUGUGAGGAGUGAAGCCUGCACAGUGGAGCCCAGUCAUGGCCUUUCAAGAAGGGCGGAGCGCUAGAAUCCAAUAAUCCACGAAGAAGCUGAGAACUGGGUGCUGGUGAGUGACGCCUGAAGUCCCCAGCUAGAUGGGGAGCCUAAGGACCUGGCUGUCCCUGCUGGCCUGGCCCCGGCCUGUCUGUUUGACUCAAACAAGCUCCAGAACACAGGCCUGGACACAGUACUGGGGAGAUCCAGGGCGGGAAGGAGAGGGAGCCCUGGAGACACCCAGAGCCAGUCCUUCCACCAGUGAAAGACUACAGAGAUUAUGGCAUCUGGCAUUCAUCAAGGAGAGAAGCAAGAAAAAGUGUGUUCUCUACUUCUACUGGAAACAAUUGGCUUUUUAAAUUGUUGACACUUGAGAUGCUUGUGCUAUGCCUGGGUCUGUGGUUUCACCAGUGACUGCAGUGCAGCUUAGAGUGGAUUUGUGUGACAACGUGUACCUUGACUGCCAGGCCCGGCACAGGGCUGAAGCCAGAGCAUGCUGGCCCCUGGGGCUCUGCCGUCUGCAGUGAAGGGAUCUCCACCUCUUCCAAGUUGUCCAUCUGGAGCUGCUCUGGCCACUGACCACACACACAGGACUCCUGCCAUCUUAGCGUGGAUCUUUGUGCAUUUGGAAAGGCUGCAUUUCAUCACAAAUAAGAACAAGGCUUUGGGCUAGAUGAGAAUGCUGCCUGCAUGGGACGCGUGACCCGGAUCCAGUUACCAGGAUCCCUGAGCAAGGAGUUUUCGCCACUGUAAUAUUUCUCAUAUUCUGCGGAACUGUAAAUCCCAGCUUCCUGAACUGUGGGUCAUGACCUUUAUGAUGUCACAUAACUGAAUGUGGAGAUCACAAAAGUUUAGCAACAAAGAAUGUUCAAAACUAAAAAUGUGACGAAUUGGAGGUGUUUCUGGCAGCAGCAUUCACCUGUGUUACAUCACAAAGCACCGCAGCCUUGGUUCAGCACACACACAACAUGAACAUCUUGCACAGCCAGGCCACACAGUGUCAAUGGCAUAGCAUAAAACAUGUCCAGUCAGAUUUGGUGCUAAUGUUAUGACCUGCAGUGUUUUGACUUAGGUACAAAGUUCAUUCUGGUCUGCUUACAGAGAACAAAGACUUUCAACACUGUCCUGCUGUCAUCCCUCAGGAAUCAGAUUAGUACAUAUUUGGAUUGUGUUAAAUAUUUGAUUUUUAAAAUUGCUGUUUGAGUUUCCAACUUGAGUUCAUAAAAAAUCGUUUAGUGAAUUUGGCUUGGGAUUAGGACCAAAUUUGCAACAAUUUCUGAAAUAGACCUAUACAUAUUUCUGUCAUUUUAUACCACAUAUUUAUGUGAAAUAGCACUCUUGGCACUGAUAAUUACAAAAUAAAAAUAUUCAACUCUAAAAAACAAUGAAGCUGUUCUGUGUCCUACAGUAUCAAAUACUCAGCCAAGGUUUAAUUCUUUAUAUAAAAAUAAACAAGCAUGCCCAUUUAA